CAGAAGAGGAAACAGGCUCACAGAACUCGGGACCCUCACUAAAGCCUCAAGCAGAGGUGAUCACCUGCAUAUCUGCCAUUAUGGACUACCCUGAGGGUGCUGUCCAGAGCAAAGCUAUGAGAAGCACGCAAUGAAUAAAACGAGGAGAAAAUUAUGAGCCCCAAGAAAAACACGGAGGAAAUGCUCUUAGAGGAGGUUAUCAAAAUGCACCUCGGACUGAAAGGCAAAGACACAGUGAUGCCAUCUCAUCUCAGGGAGCCUGUCCUUUGUUAGGGCAUCUAUUGUUUACACACCUGCUCUUGUUUCCCUGCGGAUAACAGAUCGGUGGCCUCCUCCCUGGUUUUUCCUCUAUUGCUUCUUUCCCUUCCUUUUCAUGGUCUGCCCGCAUCAUGGCACCACCACACCAGAGGCAUGGGGACUUUGCAGAGUGGCUUGGGAGGAGAGCAGGAAUCACUCCUUGCCUGUGGGAACACCUGAAGCACUCUCAGGCAUAGCAACGAGCUCCUUCGGUGUUCUGGCCCUAUUUCUAGUCAGUAAGGCUAACCUUGGUCCACUGCCCAGCAUGGCCAUCUCUGUAGCAAGAUCCUGAAGGACUUGAGCUUAAUCCUCAUACCUGGUUCCUGCCUCGUGGCCAUGAGGGCUGACCCAGAGGAACUGGUGCUGUUAAUCUUGGUAGCAAAUCUUGCUUCCCAUCGGUUUUUUCUUUCCCCACAGUGCAGACAUGGAUCCUUGGAGCCACAGAGAUACAAUCCCAGUCAUGGAGGAACUAGCUGCUGCCUUGCCCUUCCAAUA
Pteropus alecto (black flying fox) is the source of this 792-nucleotide long non-coding RNA. RefSeq lists it as uncharacterized. The transcript is spliced from 3 exons. The record is from RefSeq and is a predicted model, not a curated record. NCBI's taxonomy places the organism in Eukaryota, Metazoa, Chordata, Mammalia, Chiroptera, Pteropodidae.